UACACAGAUUUUUAAAGGACGAGGGCAGGA
RNAcentral lists this non-coding RNA (30 nucleotides) under Rattus norvegicus (Norway rat). Lineage: Eukaryota; Metazoa; Chordata; Mammalia; Rodentia; Muridae. The record is from RNAcentral.